AGUGAACGCUGGCGGUAGGCCUAACACAUGCAAGUCGAACGGCAGCACAGUAAGAGCUUGCUCUUACGGGUGGCGAGUGGCGGACGGGUGAGGAAUACAUCGGAAUCUACUUUUUCGUGGGGGAUAACGUAAGGAAACUUACGCUAAUACCGCAUACGCCCUACGGGUGAAAGCAGGGGAUCUUCGGACCUUGCGCGAUUGAAUGAGCCGAUGUCGGAUUAGCUAGUUGGCGGGGUAAAGGCCCACCAAGGCGACGAUCCGUAGCUGGUCUGAGAGGAUGAUCAGCCACACUGGAACUGAGACACGGUCCAGACUCCUACGGGAGGCAGCAGUGGGGAAUAUUGGACAAUGGGCGCAAGCCUGAUCCAGCCAUACCGCGUGGGUGAAGAAGGCCUUCGGGUUGUAAAGCCCUUUUGUUGGGAAAGAAAAGCAGCAGGUUAAUACCCCGCUGUUCUGACGGUACCCAAAGAAUAAGCACCGGCUAACUUCGUG
Molecule: ribosomal RNA, 492 nt
Filed under: uncultured bacterium
Lineage: Bacteria
Description: partial 16S ribosomal RNA
Rfam family: Bacterial small subunit ribosomal RNA
Source: RNAcentral